AGAAAGCGAACAAAGAGCGUAUGGGGGAUGCCUAGGCUCUCAGAGAAGACGAAGGACGUGAUAAGCUGCGAAAAGCUACGAUGAGUCGCAAAUAGACGUUAAGAAUCGUA
RNAcentral lists this ribosomal RNA (110 nucleotides) under Saprospira sp. SS91-40. RNAcentral's name for it is "partial 23S ribosomal RNA". It matches the Rfam family "Bacterial large subunit ribosomal RNA", at positions 1 to 108 of the family's 2925-position model. The record is from RNAcentral. Lineage: Bacteria; Pseudomonadati; Bacteroidota; Saprospiria; Saprospirales; Saprospiraceae.